RNAcentral lists this ribosomal RNA (429 nucleotides) under Pseudomonadota bacterium. RNAcentral's name for it is "Proteobacteria bacterium partial 16S ribosomal RNA". It matches the Rfam family "Bacterial small subunit ribosomal RNA", at positions 355 to 776 of the family's 1533-position model. Lineage: Bacteria; Pseudomonadati; Pseudomonadota. The record is from RNAcentral.
UGGGGAAUAUUGGACACUGGGCGAAAGCCUGAUCCAGCCAUGCCGCGUGUGUGAAGAAGGUCUUCGGAUUGUAAAGCACUUUAAGUUGGGAGGAAGGGCAGUAAGCGAAUACCUUGCUGUUUUGACGUUACCGACAGAAUAAGCACCGGCUAACUCUGUGCCAGCAGCCGCGGUAAUACAGAGGGUGCAAGCGUUAAUCGGAAUUACUGGGCGUAAAGCGCGCGUAGGUGGUUCGUUAAGUUGAAUGUGAAAGCCCCGGGCUCAACCUGGGAACUGCAUCCAAAACUGGCGAGCUAGAGUAGGGCAGAGGGUGGUGGAAUUUCCUGUGGAGCGGUGAAAUGCGUAGAUAUAGGAAGGAACACCAGUGGCGAAGGCGACCACCUGGGCUCAUACUGACACUGAGGUGCGAAAGCGGGGGGAGCAAACAGG